This 356-nucleotide transfer-messenger RNA is filed under the name Gammaproteobacteria bacterium. It matches the Rfam family "transfer-messenger RNA". From Rfam's summary of the family: Bacterial tmRNA, also known as 10Sa RNA or SsrA, is named for its dual tRNA and mRNA-like properties. Lineage: Bacteria; Pseudomonadati; Pseudomonadota; Gammaproteobacteria. The record is from RNAcentral.
GGGGGCGACAUGGCUUCGACGCGGGUAGCAAAGCAAGAGGUGCAUGCCGAGAGGGUAGUGACUCUCGUUAAUCAAUCGCUGUAACUUUAAUAGUUGCCAACGACGAAAACUACGCACUAGCGGCCUAAACACCCGCUAACGUCGACGAUCCCUUUCCUGUGGGGUGACUUCGACGGCAAAGCAGCAGGAUCGCGCGGCGGCCUCGCUCGGGGCCAAGGCGUUAAAACCAAUCGAGCUCGCUGAAAACACCCUGACCGCCGGGUCGUUCGAGGCUAAAUCAAUAGACGGAAUCUAAGCAUGUAGAGCCGAAUGUGGCGUGCCAGCGGACGCGGGUUCGACUCCCGCCGCCUCCACCA